UACGGAGGGUGCAAGCGUUAUCCGGAUUCACUGGGUUUAAAGGGUGCGUAGGCGGGUGUGUAAGUCAGUGGUGAAAUCCCGAAGCUUAACUUCGGAACUGCCGUUGAUACUAUACAUCUUGAAUACCCGGGAGGUGAGCGGAAUAUGUCAUGUAGCGGUGAAAUGCUUAGAUAUGACAUAGAACACCAAUUGCGAAGGCAGCUCACUACAGGGUCAUUGACGCUGAGGCACGAAAGCGUGGGGAUCAAACAGG
Molecule: ribosomal RNA, 253 nt
Filed under: uncultured bacterium
Lineage: Bacteria
Description: partial 16S ribosomal RNA
Rfam family: Bacterial small subunit ribosomal RNA
Source: RNAcentral